UACGAAGGGGGCUAGCGUUGUUCGGAAUUACUGGGCGUAAAGCGCGCGCAGGCGGUUCUUCAAGUCAGUGGUGAAAGCCCGGAGCUCAACUCCGGAAUUGCCAUUGAAACUGUAGAACUUGAGUACGAGAGAGGUGAGUGGAAUUCCCAGUGUAGAGGUGAAAUUCGUAGAUAUUGGGAAGAACACCGGUGGCGAAGGCGGCUCACUGGCUCGUAACUGACGCUCAGGCGCGAUAGCGUGGGGAUCAAACAGG
This 253-nucleotide ribosomal RNA is filed under the name uncultured bacterium. Its description in RNAcentral is "partial 16S ribosomal RNA". It matches the Rfam family "Bacterial small subunit ribosomal RNA", at positions 524 to 776 of the family's 1533-position model. The record is from RNAcentral.